GUUUGGUCCGUGUGUAUUUGGUGUUGCGUGCAUAUGCACACGCGUGUGUGUGGUGCGUGCAUGUGUAGGAGGGCAAGGGUGGUACGAGUCUUGCAUCUGACCUGCAGAAGCGACAGCCGUUAUUCAAGGUGUAACAAUCAAGCAGCAAGCAACAGACCUGUGAUGCCAGCAAAAUCUAUGUUGUAGGAUCGGUUGGUCAAAAUAAUUUUGAGCGCGACAUUAAUACCAGCCCUGGGGCCAGUUGUACGGAUUGUUGUGAAAACUUAAAACUGUUCUAAAGUAGUAAAUAUAGAAACGUUUUCUUUUCAAAAAUCGCUCCUGUGUUUAGAUGCGUUCCAAACGAAUAUAAUAAAAAUGUGUUGACGGGACGUCUGGCUUAAUUAAACAGUCUUGGUUAAAUUAUACUGUGCACUGUUUUUCUAUAAAACUAAUUAUCUAAACAGAUUUAACGCCUAAGGUAUUUAAAACUAGAAGUACAUUCCCCAGAUAGCAUUGAAACAUUUUAUAAACGUUUAAUAGAUGUCAUUGCAAAAUGUUUGAAUAAUGUUUGCAGCAAACGUUUUUAAACGUUUUUAUGCCCAUCAAAGUAAUGUUUUAGUAAUGUUUGGAUCCGCAACUGGUCUCUAGUUAAUGGAAUAAUUUAGUUGCGUUUAUUGGAAGCAAAGUUUCCCUCGAAAGUUUCCGCCAGUGUUACUAAUGGCAGUUCACGUCCAAAGAAACCAGCUCCUCUUCUGUUAGAAAGAAACACAGACAAGCAAAACGAUGGGCGAACGGACCGACAUACAGGUAGGCCGACAAAGAGAAAUUCUCAGACCACAUCCGUGAUAUAAUAAUCAUUCCACGAAGGCUAUCAUAGGAACUGACCCUCAGGGGAUCUGACGGUAGCUCUCCGUAUGUUCAUCAUGGCUGCUACUCAGGAGAAUGCCUUCAUCUUGCUGACACAGGAAACAAUCACAGCAUCAAAGCUGAACGGUCUCUUAUUUACACGGCGAACAGAAUAACGAAAUCUCUUCUAGAAAAAGUCUACAAUUCAAUAAUGACAUGAAAGAUAACAGAUUACGUUUUAUUCUUUCAUCAUACAGACGGACUAGAAGAGGAUUUCUUUUCUCCCUUCUGUCAUUACUAGAAGAUCAAGGAGAUCUGGGCCCUAUAUUUGGCAGGAUUUCGUAUCCCUGUCUGAAGCAAUAUUGAAUCCUCUCGAACUAUUUCCUUUCUCUAACUGUUUAGAAGCAGAAUUUGCCGAACGGGUUUUGUCUUUGCGUGAAAAUAUACACAGCAAAACAAAAACACAAAAGAAAAGCAAGUUCUGAAACAUUCCUUAGCAUAAAAUGUUUUCCACAUGAACGCGGUUAUGAUACUAAAUGUUUUAUUCAUCAGUGGGUCAAUUGUUUGAAGCAGUUUAUUUUGUCUUCAGGUCGCGAUUGUCCCUUCAGGUCCGAGACAUGUUUGUAUGAAUUCUCGCUUAAAUUAAAAAAAAAAUCUUGAGUUUUAGCUCAUUGCCAGAAAGCUUACAAUGAAUGAAGCUGGCUAUCUGGUAAUGACUCGUCGCAGACGAAGCACUUUAGGCAGUCGCGUGUCCUGGCUAACGCCAAUUAAGAUUGAACACACAUGCACAGCAACAAUCACCCCAUCUCUCGGCCCCACCCCGUCAGGCUAUGACGUCACCUUCCCACUCUCUCCCCACGCCACCGUUGCAUCAGCGGUCUUAUCACGGGACGAAAGCAUGAUGCUUCCUUCGUGUAAUUAUUUCCUGGGACGAGUGAGAGAUUCUGGUGAUGGUAAAUCAGCUUAUCACGCCUUUUCUUCCGACGUCGAGUUAUUGCCCUUGGCAAGGUAGCCCCCCUUGUCGCGUUCCGUGAAGAUAACGGCGGCCAGAUUUGUUGAGGAAGUAUGAUGUCUCACGAACCUCGUUCAAGACGAUCACUAGACUUUCCUACAGCCACUUCGGCGUGGGACGAGCGCCGUCUGGCGGCUUCCCACGAAACUAUAGAAAAAAGGAACACUUUUUAAUUUAAUUUAAUUUAAUUUAAUUUUUAAGGAGAAGGGGGCUGCUAAGCAGGUGAUAGUGAACUGAACAAGAGGAUUUGCAUCUCACCACAAUAGUUCAGUAAAAAAAAAAAUUUAAAGUGAGUGGAGGAUGAAAAAAAAAAACAUCAGUAACUGUAUCAACGACUCCAUCAAUCCCCCUCCCAUACUACCUAUCUACUCACCAACUCAAAAAGGAGAGUUGAUUAAGGUUUCGAAAUAAACCGUAAUUAUACUUUUUUGAGUUAACUGAGAAUAUUAAUAAAUAUAUGAAGAAAAUCAACAGUUAAGCAAAUUAAAACAGAUUCCAGACUGACGAGACCUACAACCCAAUACUGCCUUUAAGGCCCACAUAGUUUCUUUGUAAAACACUUUCAUGGUUUUGAAUUUGUGAAGUGUCAGCAGUCACUUCGCACUUUGUUGUAAAUGUAGACCAAGACAGCUUACAAACAGUACUCCUUCUAAAUAAGAUUAGUCAUAAUGCGCCACGUGUGACUCUCCAUGGUAUGAAGUGGUAUCUGAACUGCUCGAAAUGAGAAGAUAUUCUGAUAGCUACCAUUCGAUUUCACAUUGUAGACACGACAUGGCUCAAACAAGUUUCAAUCUGGUUUAAAAGAUUGUUUCCAAAAGCUUUUUUUCUACAUUUGUGGAGCUCCAUCUCCAUUAUCUGUAGCCCUGCGCCUGUGAAACCUGACCGUCAUAAGACUGGGUCUGUCAAGUAAAUCCCUGUUCUCUCCCCAAAGACACUAAUGAUUUCUAUCAGUCUGCAAAUAACUCAAGUAGAAUCGAUCAAAGAUUUCAGAAAUGGGAGCAAAAAAAAAAAA
Pomacea canaliculata is the source of this 2849-nucleotide long non-coding RNA. RefSeq lists it as uncharacterized. The transcript has 2 exons. NCBI's taxonomy places the organism in Eukaryota, Metazoa, Mollusca, Gastropoda, Architaenioglossa, Ampullariidae. The record is from RefSeq and is a predicted model, not a curated record.